RNAcentral lists this transfer RNA (69 nucleotides) under Marmota monax (woodchuck). Its description in RNAcentral is "tRNA.Ala". Lineage: Eukaryota; Metazoa; Chordata; Mammalia; Rodentia; Sciuridae. The record is from RNAcentral.
GUGUGUGGCUCAGUGGUAGAGUGCUUGCCUAGCACAUGUGGGGCACUGGGUUCGAUCCCCAGCACCACA